UACGUAGGAGACGAGCGUUGUCCGGAAUUACUGGGCGUAAAGCGCGUGUAGGCGGAUGAGCAAGUCUGCUGUGAAAGCUCCUGGCUUAACCGGGAGUGGUCGGUGGAAACUGCUCGUCUGGAGGACGGUAGAGGUAGGUAGAAUUCCCGGUGUAGUGGUGAAAUGCGUAGAGAUGUGGAGGAACACCGAUGGCGAAGGCAGCCUCCUGGGCCAGCACUGACGCUCAGGCACGAAAGCGUGGGGAGCAAACAGG
This 253-nucleotide ribosomal RNA is filed under the name uncultured bacterium. RNAcentral's name for it is "partial 16S ribosomal RNA". It matches the Rfam family "Bacterial small subunit ribosomal RNA", at positions 524 to 776 of the family's 1533-position model. The record is from RNAcentral.